GAAACCUACUUCGGAUUGAGAAGCUUUCAUACAAGUGAAUGAGAGGGUCACAUCUCUACAGUAAGAGGUGUUUUAAAAACACUUUUAGCUGUAUUUGCAUUAAGGUAUUCAGCUGAUGUUUCACCUCAUGCUUGCUUUCUUUAUUUACCGUUAAUGUUAUUGACUUAAUAAAUGGAUACACGCCCAUUUUUUUUCCCACAAAACGAAAGUAGAUGUAAGAUCAGUGCCCUGCCCUGCCUCCCCAGAGUAAGGCAUGCACGUGAUCUGAACUGAUCUGAGCAUCUGAGCUGUGUCAGAUACACCAUGCGUGCUCAGCUGUGACUCCUUCACUGGGCAUCAUCUCAGAAUGAAGUGUCCUCGAUGCAAUCAUGUGUCUUCAGAAAAGGCAAAAUUCUGCUGCGAGUGUGGAUUCAACCUGUCAUCUCUCUCAACUGAGACAGCACCAGGCAAGUCACAAGAGUCUCAAUCAUCCUCAAACAUCCCACAUGGCACUGAUGAAGAACACAAUCCAACACAAUCAAAUGAAGAUAUCAACAACUCUAACCCAACGAAAGAGGUGCUGGACAUGGACAUCAAUUCUAACAAAUAGCUCUGGAUUAAGUUUUUAAAAUGUUUCUUAUUCUGAGAUUCUGCUGUUGGUGAUUUUAUGAUUUUUAUUCACCCUGUGUGCAUGCAAUUGCUGAAAAUAAAAAUGUAUUUUACACAAUAUUGUAAAUGUACUUAAAUAAUUUUAAAUGGAAAAUUUGCUCUGUUGGCUAACAUUAAUGAUAAUCACAGAAAGCAUAAACAUGGAAAUGAAAAACAUGGGGCCCGUUCUUCGUACGUUGCUAACUCCGCUGUAUUUGAUUGUUGAUGAUUUCGCUUUAUCUUGGAUUGGUUGGUUCUUCGAAGC
RNAcentral lists this long non-coding RNA (892 nucleotides) under Sinocyclocheilus grahami. RNAcentral's name for it is "lncRNA (ENSSGRG00000013388.1)". The record is from RNAcentral. Lineage: Eukaryota; Metazoa; Chordata; Actinopteri; Cypriniformes; Cyprinidae.